GACGAACGCUGGCGGCGUGCUUAACACAUGCAAGUCGAACGAAGAGCGAUGGAAGCUUGCUUCUAUCAAUCUUAGUGGCGAACGGGUGAGUAACGCGUAAUCAACCUGCCCUUCAGAGGGGGACAACAGUUGGAAACGACUGCUAAUACCGCAUACGAUCUAAACUCGGCAUCGAGGAUAGAUGAAAGGUGGCCUCUACAUGUAAGCUAUCACUGAAGGAGGGGAUUGCGUCUGAUUAGCUAGUGGGAGGGGUAACGGCGCACCAAGGCGAUGAUCAGUAGCCGGUCUGAGAGGAUGAACGGCCACAUUGGGACUGAGACACGGCCCAGACUCCUACGGGAGGCAGCAGUGGGGAAUCUUCCGCAAUGGACGAAAGUCUGACGGAGCAACGCCGCGUGAGUGAUGACGGCCUUCGGGUUGUAAAGCUCUGUUAAUCGGGACGAAAGGCCUUCUUGCGAAUAGUGAGAAGGAUUGACGGUACCGGAAUAGAAAGCCACGGCUAACUACGUG
Molecule: ribosomal RNA, 510 nt
Filed under: uncultured bacterium
Lineage: Bacteria
Description: partial 16S ribosomal RNA
Rfam family: Bacterial small subunit ribosomal RNA
Source: RNAcentral